RNAcentral lists this ribosomal RNA (313 nucleotides) under uncultured Pseudomonas sp. Its description in RNAcentral is "bacterial SSU rRNA". It matches the Rfam family "Bacterial small subunit ribosomal RNA", at positions 1068 to 1382 of the family's 1533-position model. The record is from RNAcentral. Lineage: Bacteria; Pseudomonadati; Pseudomonadota; Gammaproteobacteria; Pseudomonadales; Pseudomonadaceae.
UGAGAUGUUGGGUUAAGUCCGUAACGAGCGCAACCCUUGUCCUUAGUUACCAGCACGUUAUGGUGGGCACUCUAAGGAGACUGCCGGUGACAACCGGAGGAAGGUGGGGAUGACGUCAAGUCAUCAUGGCCCUUACGGCCUGGGCUACACACGUGCUACAAUGGUCGGUACAAAGGGUUGCCAAGCCGCGAGGUGGAGCUAAUCCCAUAAAACCGAUCGUAGUCCGGAUCGCAGUCUGCAACUCGACUGCGUGAAGUCGGAAUCGCUAGUAAUCGUGAAUCAGAAUGUCACGGUGAAUACGUUCCCGGGCCUU